Molecule: ribosomal RNA, 292 nt
Filed under: uncultured bacterium
Lineage: Bacteria
Description: partial 16S ribosomal RNA
Rfam family: Bacterial small subunit ribosomal RNA
Source: RNAcentral
GUGUCAGCAGCCGCGGUAAAACGUAGGAGGCAAGCGUUAUCCGAAUUUACUGGGCGUAAAGCGCGUGCAGGCGGUCCAACAAGUUGGAUGUGAAAUCUCCUGGCUCAACUGGGAGAGGUCGUUCAAAACUGUUGGACUGGAGGACGGUAGAGGGAGGUGGAAUUCCCGGUGUAGUAGUGAAAUGCGUAGAUAUCGGGAGGAACACCUGUGGCGAAAGCGGCCUCCUGGACCGUACCUGACGCUCAGACGCGAAAGCUAGGGGAGCGAACGGGAUUAGAUACCCUCGUAGUCC